RNAcentral lists this long non-coding RNA (993 nucleotides) under Malus domestica (apple). RNAcentral's name for it is "long non-coding RNA (MDOM_LNC011258)". Lineage: Eukaryota; Viridiplantae; Streptophyta; Magnoliopsida; Rosales; Rosaceae. The record is from RNAcentral.
AGGAAUACAGGUGGUUUGAUGAAUCCAGUCUCGACCGAGCAGUGCAUUAUACUCGGUCUUGGAGUCGACGAUAAAAAAUGCGGUCAUGUGAUUACGGCCGACAAUAUUUACCGCUAAAGGAAGCACCCCUUUGGUUUGGGAUUUGUCUCCGACGAAACUGCUCAUUGUGAUCCCAGAGGGAAUGAGUUCAUCAUUGGAGCAACGUAACGCCUUCAUGAUGUUUACAGGCAUGAUAUUGACCAUGGCUCGGCAGUCGACAAAAACUUUGGAGACUGGAUACCCUUCGAUAUGGGCCAUGACAUAGAAUGGCUUUAAAUGAUGAAGUUUGGCCGAUGAUGCACGAGGAAACAAUUCGGCCAAAGCUGCUUUGAUGUUGUCAUCUUUUGUUGUCGAUUCGUCAUUAGCAACAGUUACAAAAUCAAUGUGACCGGCUUCCUCGACAAUUACGUCACCAUCAAGGAAAUUUGGUUGGGAUGUGCUCGACUAAAAAUCAGCGGGCAAAAUAUAGACCAUACUGAUUUCCAUGUUAUCCAGGACCGACAGGCCCAUCGGGUUACCAUCAUCCUCGUCCGCCUCUUCGCGCUCCUGGUCACCGACUGCGGCAUCUACUUGCGGUGGAGUAGUACUAAGAGAUUCUUCUGCGCCUUCUUCAAUGGUUUGUUCUCGCAGUGUCUCUUCGGAAGCCUGUUUGUUCUAUGCAGAAACCUUCGGUGCGUCUGAAAUCGGAAUUGCGUAUGGGAUUGAUGCCAGGAUACGAGCUUGCUCUUGGUACAUUAUACGGGCAUCCCUGGUGUCAAGGUAAGCAUCCAACCGUGCAACUCGUGUUAUUUCAUCGGCCGUGAGGCUGAAGAGAGAAACGGCCGAAAAAACUUCGAAGUGGUAUCGUAAAUAUUGAAGGUCCUCCAUGGAGACAGGAAGGUCGGCUGCAUCGAUGUCAGUAUAUGGGUCGACUUCAAAACCAAGGACACAAGCUUCCCGUAUGUGCUGGAACCU